This 301-nucleotide unclassified non-coding RNA is filed under the name fungal sp. RNAcentral's name for it is "partial internal transcribed spacer region". The stretch from base 1 to 46 matches the Rfam family "Eukaryotic small subunit ribosomal RNA", at positions 1786 to 1831 of the family's 1831-position model. Lineage: Eukaryota; Fungi. The record is from RNAcentral.
AAGUCGUAACAAGGUUUCCGUAGGUGAACCUGCGGAAGGAUCAUCAUCGAAUUCAUAUCCCCCUCCUCAACCGGAGGGGGACCCAUGAUAAACCCUUCUGUGCACCGUAAACCGUUCACUUUGGCAGGCUUUGGUGGUGAGCGUGAGCUCGCCUCCAACCUCGCGUUCCCUCCCUAGGGGUGUUACGCGUGGCGGCCUGCCGGAGUCCCAUUAAAGAACUCGUUUUCGAACACGUCUGAAAAUUUCCUUUGAGAAAUCAAAGAACCGAAAACAACUUUCAACAACGGAUCUCUUGGCUCUC